CAAACUAAAACGUGCAAUAAUAUAGAUCUACUGCAUAGAGAAUUUCAUAAGGAUUCCAAAAAGUCCGCGUUUGCUAUUUUACGACUUUUCUACGAAUUUCUAUGCAUUUCUAAAGUUCAUCCAUAAAAUAUGCAAAAACAAAAGAAAAGAAAAACAGAUCUUGCACCCAGAACCCUAGCUUUUCCAAGAAUCACGGCAC
This 199-nucleotide long non-coding RNA is filed under the name Sorghum bicolor (sorghum). RNAcentral's name for it is "long non-coding RNA (SBIC_LNC005095)". Lineage: Eukaryota; Viridiplantae; Streptophyta; Magnoliopsida; Poales; Poaceae. The record is from RNAcentral.